This 273-nucleotide ribosomal RNA is filed under the name uncultured bacterium. RNAcentral describes it as "partial 16S ribosomal RNA". It matches the Rfam family "Archaeal small subunit ribosomal RNA", at positions 474 to 747 of the family's 1478-position model. The record is from RNAcentral.
UACCAGCACCCCGAGUGGUCGGGACGAUUAUUGGGCCUAAAGCAUCCGUAGCCGGUUCUACAAGUCUUCCGUUAAAUCCAACUGCUUAACAGUUGGGCUGCGGAGGAUACUAUAGAGCUAGGAGGCGGGAGAGGCAAGCGGUACUUAGUGGGUAGGGGUAAAAUCCGUUGAUCCACUGAAGACCACCAGUGGCGAAGGCGGCUUGCCAGAACGCGCUCGACGGUGAGGGAUGAAAGCUGGGGGAGCAAACCGGAUUAGAAACCCGCGUAGUCC